Molecule: RNA transcript, 926 nt
Organism: Pieris brassicae (large cabbage white)
Lineage: Eukaryota; Metazoa; Arthropoda; Insecta; Lepidoptera; Pieridae
Exons: 5
Source: RefSeq, a predicted model, not a curated record
CUUUAGUAUGUAUAUUACACUAAUUAAUGUCAUCUUAUAUUUAGUAUCAAUUGAGACGUCAUUUUGUUAAGACUUAAAGGUAUCCAAAGCGAUAAUAAUAGCGAUGAACGCCAUCACGUUAUUUCUCAGCAUAUUCCUUUUCACAUCUGUCUAUGGUCUGGACAGCUCUGGUGGUCGGCUGAAUAGUUUUUCAAACAUGGGUCCUGGGUCCGCCGCAGUGAAAAAGCUUGAUUUGAGACCUAAUGAAGUUCGCAGCCGUUCAUGUUUCACGUCCACGGGCGAAGUUGGUGAAUGCGUAUCAUAUUACAACUGUAAUGAUGCGCCCCAGGAUAUAUAUGAUAAAGGAAGCACAACCGGAUGUCCGCACUACCUUCAUGUCUGCUGUAUAGAUGUACCAACUGGUGAUGAGGAUUUAGAAAUUUAAAACUUAAUUUAAUGAAAUAUUUUAGGUAGAAUAAUGCUCACUAAACAAUAGUUCAUUUAAUCGAUACUUACAUUAACAGCCAGUUCUAAAGGGCGAUAAACUCCUCCUCUUUAAACCGCCAUUUUGGUUUACUAGAGACGGGUUAAUCUAUAAUAAUUUUCAUGAGACAGCGAUAUAUAGCGAAGUGUAUUAGAGUGAACGGGAUACAAAAUGGUGUCUUUGUUCUGUGUUAUGAAACAUCUUAUUUAUGUUCUAAAAUAUACAAUAUUGACAAAAACUGCAGAAGACGAACUAAACAUCAAAAGAAACUUCAACUCUGAUAGCAACUAGCGUCUUAAACGGGAAUUUUUACAAUAUCCAUAUAAGACGUCGUUCAGCACCAGGUAUUUAUCCGAAUUACAAUAAUUUCAAUUAAUGUUAUUGAAAUGUCAUUGCCUAUAAAGAAAACAAAACUUGGAAGCUAUACUGGCGUUGGAGCUUGAAAUAAAUAUUAGCAUUAGAA